RNAcentral lists this ribosomal RNA (301 nucleotides) under uncultured bacterium. RNAcentral describes it as "partial 16S ribosomal RNA". It matches the Rfam family "Bacterial small subunit ribosomal RNA", at positions 509 to 807 of the family's 1533-position model. The record is from RNAcentral.
CAGUCGCCGCGGGAAUACGUAGGUGGCAAGCGUUGUCCGGAAUUAUUGGGCGUAAAGGGCUCGCAGGCGGUUUCUUAAGUCUGAUGUGAAAGCCCCCGGCUCGACCGGGGAGGGUCAUUGGAAACUGGGAAACUUGAGUGCAGAAGAGGAGAGUGGAAUUCCACGUGUAGCGGUGAAAUGCGUAGAGAUGUGGAGGAGCACCAGUGGCGAAGGCGACUCUCAGGUCUGUAACUGACGCUGAGGAGCGAAAGCGUGGGGAGCGAACAGGAUUAGAUACCCGAGUAGUCCCUGUCUCUUAUAC